RNAcentral lists this ribosomal RNA (493 nucleotides) under uncultured bacterium. RNAcentral's name for it is "bacterial SSU rRNA". It matches the Rfam family "Bacterial small subunit ribosomal RNA", at positions 903 to 1397 of the family's 1533-position model. The record is from RNAcentral.
AAAUGAAUAGACGGGGGCCCGCACAAGCAGUGGAUUAUGUGGUUUAAUUCGAAGCAACGCGAAGAACCUUACCAGGGUUUGACAUCCAACUAACGAGGCAGAGAUGCGUUAGGUGCCCUUCGGGGAAAGUUGAGACAGGUGGUGCAUGGUUGUCGUCAGCUCGUGUCGUGAGAUGUUGGGUUAAGUCCCGCAACGAGCGCAACCCUUAUUGCUAGUUGCUACGGAAAGAGCACUCUAGCGAGACUGCCGUUGAUAAAACGGAGGAAGGUGGGGACGACGUCAAAUCAUCAUGCCCCUUAUAUCCUGGGCUACACACGUAAUACAAUGGCGUUUAACAGAGGGAAGCGAAGGAGCGAUCUGGAGCAAAUCCCAGAAAAGGCGUCUCAGUUCGGAUUGCAGGCUGCAACUCGCCUGUAUGAAGUCGGAAUUGCUAGUAAUCGCGGAUCAGCAUGCCGCGGUGAAUACGUUCCCGGGCCUUGUACACACCGCCCGU